This 459-nucleotide ribosomal RNA is filed under the name uncultured bacterium. RNAcentral describes it as "partial 16S ribosomal RNA". It matches the Rfam family "Bacterial small subunit ribosomal RNA", at positions 338 to 795 of the family's 1533-position model. The record is from RNAcentral.
CCUACGGGUGGCAGCAGUGAGGAAUAUUGGUCAAUGGCCGGACGCCUGAACCAGCCAAGUCGCGUGAAGGACGACUGCGCUAUGCAUUGUAAACUUCUUUUGUCAAGGGACAAAACCAGGUACGAGUGCCCGACCGUGGGUACCCGAAGAAAAAGCAUCGGCUAACUCCGUGCCAGCCGCCGCGGUAAUACGGAGGAGGCGAGCGUUAUCCGGAUUUAUUGGGUUUAAAGGGUGCGUAGGCGGGUUGUAAAGUCAGCGGUAAAAGCCCGGGGCUAAACCCAGGCGAGCCGUUGAAACUGGCUGUCUUGAGAUGUCGAGAGGUAUGCGGAAUGCGCGGUGUAGCGGUGAAAUGCUUAGAUAUUACGCAGAACUCCGAUUGCGAAGGCAGCAUACCGGCGGCGAACUGACGCUGAGGCACGAAAGCGUGGGUAUCGAACAGGAUUAGAUACCCCUGUAGUC